Molecule: RNA transcript, 1551 nt
Organism: Chenopodium quinoa (quinoa)
Lineage: Eukaryota; Viridiplantae; Streptophyta; Magnoliopsida; Caryophyllales; Amaranthaceae
Gene name: ras-related protein Rab7-like
Exons: 7
Source: RefSeq, a predicted model, not a curated record
UUCAGCCGGGCCGAGCUUUCUUGAUCACCCCUAGUUCAAACCUAGUGUUUGUGUCUAAGCCCAACCCACAAAGUGUCUUAGGCUGGCCGACAUAUAGCUUCAUUCCCACCAAUCCCACCUUUAGAGAAACAUCCUACCAUUAUAACAGUUGUCAUCACAACAAAUCCAAACAAGAAACUCAAAUAAAAAGCUCUGGUUUAAAAGGUCUUUCUAAAGUGUGCUCCUCAACAAACUACAGUUGAGGCUACCACGACCCAUUAAACCAACAAUAUUCAAAUAAAAACCACCUUCAAAUUUUUUUUAUUUAUUUUGACAGAUUCAAUUUUUCAAAUUUUAUAAACUUUUAAUGGUAUCACAUCAUUAUUUUUCCAACCCCUUUUUAUUAUUUUUUUUAGUUGGGUCUUUAAUAAUAAUUGAUAAUAUGCACAGCUAGCUUACAUCUUUCUCUGAUCACAUGAAAGUUUUCUGCUGCUGCUUUUGCCAAUUGCUAUCUUCCUCAAAUUUAAACUGCACAAAAACAAUCACCAUUUCCCCCUGAUUACUAAACCAACCAAAAAGAUAUAUUUACCCAAACCUACCCUAUUUAUUAUUUAUUUCAUCAUAUUCUUAUAAAUUCAUUAACCGCCCUUCUUUUUUAUUAGAUAAAUUUUUUAAGAAUAUAUAUCUGUUCAAACAAACUGUAGUCUUGUAAAAAAAAUUAUAGUCCAAGAUAAUAAUAAUGUCGCCGCAUAUGCAGAGAACUUUGCUCAAGGUUAUUGUCCUUGGUGAUAUUGCGGUGGGAAAGACUUCUCUAAUUACAAGAUACGUGCAAAAGAAAUUCAAUCAACAGUACAAGGCAACAAUCGGGGCAGAUUUUGUGACGAGGGAGUUGCAAAUCGAUGGCAAACUCGUUAGCCUUCAGAUUUGGGAUACAGCAGGGCAGGAAAGGUUUCACAGUUUAGGACCAGCAUUUUUUAGAGGAUCAGAUUGUUGUGUUUUAGUAUACGAUGUGAAUGAUCAAAGAUCGUUUGAAGCCCUCCAAACAUGGCGUGAUGAAUUUAUCAAACAGACAGAUAUUCCUGAUCCAACCAAGUUUCCUUUCGUGGUCAUUGGAAAUAAGAUUGAUCAAGAUGGUGGAGCCAAUCGCAAGUUUGUAUACAAAUUAGGUGGAAGAGAAAAGAGCAAAGGAGUGGUGUGGGUCAAUAAAGUCAGGGCCAAAAUCAAGCGGCAUUCCUUAUUACGAGACUUCAGCAAAAGAAGAUAUAAAUGUAGAUGAUGCAUUCUACAACAUUGCAAUUGCUGCCUUAUCUCAUGAUCGUUCACAAGAAUUAUACUUUGAAAGUAUAACAGAGUCCGGUUCGUUAUCAGAAAUAGUUGAACCAAGAAGAGGAUGCCCUUGCUAAACUAAUUUGUUCAUGACGCUUGAUCUACAUUCUAACUAUUAUUGGAAGUUAUUUGAUUCUUUUAAGUUAAAUGUAUACAUUUUGCUUGCGCCAUUAAUAAAUGGAAAAUGAAAAGAAAAAUAAACUGUAAUUUUAUGUCAUUGCUAUUAUUUGUUUUCUUGAGAGAUAA